Molecule: long non-coding RNA, 635 nt
Filed under: Capra hircus (goat)
Lineage: Eukaryota; Metazoa; Chordata; Mammalia; Artiodactyla; Bovidae
Description: lncRNA (ENSCHIG00000003704.1)
Source: RNAcentral
GUUUAUUGCUUUAUUUUGCUGGAUAAUUUUGAUGUCUAACACCAAAGUAGCCUGAAGGAGUGUUGCUAAUCUUCACUUGUUAGUACAAUAAAUAUACUUACAGGCAACUGUGUUGUUGACACUACUAUGUACUCUUCAUUGGCCAAAGAUGAACAAAGCGUUAUUUCUCUUCCAGGAGCAUAGGAGUGAUGGAAGAGGAAACCAAGUACACAACAUAAUGGCUCUGUAUUUUUAUACAUUUCAAAGUGAUCACCACACUAUAUGUUCCUGUGAGGUCUCCCCAGUGAACUCAGCAGCAAUUCCAUGUAUGGAAGGAAGAUAGAUAAAGACUUCAAGACCUCAGCGGUAAUCAGGAAACUGCAGACUGGAUCCUUCAUCUUUCAACAUAAUCUGUGUGGCUCAUAGGAUGUGGGGUUGCCUCAUCUAAUGUGCUGUGUGGGGCUUCCUUCUUGCAGACAGGAGCAUCUGCUACACACCCCUGAUGUGCAUGUAUUUAUUCUGUCCACGGAUCAUCACCUCUAAUAAACUGUAAGGCACAGAUUUUCCUGUUUUGUUCACUAAUGUAACCUGAGUGCCUGGAACAGUGUUAGCACAUAAUAGGUGCUCAAUAAGUAUUUGUUUAGAGUGUGAGGUGA